AACGAACGCUGGCGGCAUGCCUAACACAUGCAAGUCGAACGAGACCUUCGGGUCUAGUGGCGCACGGGUGCGUAACGCGUGGGAACCUGCCCUUAGGUUCGGAAUAACUCCCCGAAAGGGGUGCUAAUACCGGAUAAUGUCUUCGGACCAAAGAUUUAUCGCCUUUGGAUGGGCCCGCGUUGGAUUAGCUAGUUGGUAGGGUAAAAGCCUACCAAGGCGACGAUCCAUAGCUGGUCUGAGAGGAUGAUCAGCCACACUGGGACUGAGACACGGCCCAGACUCCUACGGGAGGCAGCAGUGGGCAAUAUUGGACAAUGGGCGAAAGCCUGAUCCAGCGAUGCCGCGUGAGUGAUGAAGGCCUUAGGGUUGUAAAGCUCUUUUACCCGGGAUGAUAAUGACGGUACCGGGAGAAUAAGCUCCGGCUAACUCCGUG
This 433-nucleotide ribosomal RNA is filed under the name uncultured bacterium. RNAcentral's name for it is "partial 16S ribosomal RNA". It matches the Rfam family "Bacterial small subunit ribosomal RNA", at positions 29 to 507 of the family's 1533-position model. The record is from RNAcentral.